CUUAAAUCAGCCAGAUGUUUCAUUUUAAGAUGGAACAAUACAUGGUUUAUUUCACUCCAGUUCUCAUGGAAAGGCCACUGCUUUCAUUUUGAUAGUCCUGUUUUGUGAGAGAGGAACAAAGUGAGUGGCUAACUGGUGAGAACAAGUGUGAGCCUCAGAAGAUUAGGGAAGAGAAAUGCAGUUGAAGAAAACUUUUUGCAAUUUUUAUACUGAAAUGCCCCCACGAGAUACAGAACUUGUGAAAGGUGAGUAAGGCCAUUGCACACAUUCAGGAAAACCUGGCAUUUGAAGCAUACAUGGAGAGCACACAGUGCUAUGUCUCUCCUUUGGUGGCAUCCUUGCACCAUUCACUGCUGCUUGCUCUCUGGUUUGGGUCCUCUAGAAGCAACGAGUGGUCCCGAAGCUCAAGAGAAGGAAUGAUGACCAGAAGCACUGGCUCGAAUAACCCUCAGACUAGGAAUGCCCUGAUCCUAAGGGGUGUCUCUCCUUUUUUGCAAGCUUCAGAUAUUUGAAGGAUUCCUUAAUUCUGCAGUGGUGUUGAAGACUGAAAUCCUGCAUACCACUCAUGAUUUGUGUAAUCCUGAAGAUGUUGAUUAACUUCUCUGGGUAUUUAUUCAUUCAUUCAUUCAUUCAUUCAUUCAUUCAUUCAUUCAUUCAUUCUUACCAGCUACAACUUGUUAGUAAUUAACUGAGAUGUGGUUGCUUUCUAACCAAAUAGCCAUUUAGUACUUCCUUCUCUAUAAAUAGGAGCUACAUUUUGACUUCCAAU
RNAcentral lists this long non-coding RNA (769 nucleotides) under Vulpes vulpes (red fox). RNAcentral's name for it is "lncRNA (ENSVVUG00000022402.1)". The record is from RNAcentral. Lineage: Eukaryota; Metazoa; Chordata; Mammalia; Carnivora; Canidae.